AAGUGGCUAACUCAGUUGGUAGAACAUAGGACUCUUGAUCUCAGGCUUGUGGGAUUGAGCCCCACGCUGGGUG
This is a non-coding RNA of Pangasianodon gigas (Mekong giant catfish), 73 nucleotides long. The record is from the annotation of a GenBank genome assembly. Lineage: Eukaryota; Metazoa; Chordata; Actinopteri; Siluriformes; Pangasiidae.